AGUGAACGCUGGCGGUAGGCCUAACACAUGCAAGUCGAACGGCAGCACAGUAAGAGCUUGCUCUUACGGGUGGCGAGUGGCGGACGGGUGAGGAAUACAUCGGAAUCUACUUUUUCGUGGGGGAUAACGUAGGGAAACUUACGCUAAUACCGCAUAAGACCUACGGGUGAAAGCAGGGGAUCUUCGGAACUUGCGCGAUUGAAUGAGCCGAUGUCGGAUUAGCUAGUUGGCGGGGUAAAGGCCCACCAAGGCGACGAUCCGUAGCUGGUCUGAGAGGAUGAUCAGCCACACUGGAACUGAGACACGGUCCAGACUCCUACGGGAGGCAGCAGUGGGGAAUAUUGGACAAUGGGCGCAAGCCUGAUCCAGCCAUACCGCGUGGGUGAAGAAGGCCUUCGGGUUGUAAAGCCCUUUUGUUGGGAAAGAAAAGCAGCAGGUUAAUACCCCGCUGUUCUGACGGUACCCAAAGAAUAAGCACCGGCUAACUUCGUG
This 492-nucleotide ribosomal RNA is filed under the name uncultured bacterium. RNAcentral describes it as "partial 16S ribosomal RNA". It matches the Rfam family "Bacterial small subunit ribosomal RNA", at positions 29 to 507 of the family's 1533-position model. The record is from RNAcentral.